UUAAGCGACUAAGCGUACACGGUGGAUGCCCUGGCAGUCAGAGGCGAUGAAGGGCGUGCUAAUCUGCGAUAAGCGCCGGUAAGGUGAUAUGAACCGUUAUAACCGGCGAUACCCGAAUGGGGAAACCCAGUGUGACUCGUCACACUAUCAUUAACUGAAUCCAUAGGUUAAUGAGGCGAACCGGGGGAACUGAAACAUCUAAGUACCCCGAGGAAAAGAAAUCAACCGAGAUUCCCCCAGUAGCGGCGAGCGAACGGGGAGGAGCCCAGAGCCUGAAUCAGCAUGUGUGUUAGUGGAAGCGUCUGGAAAGGCGCGCGAUACAGGGUGACAGCCCCGUACACAAAAGCGCAUGUGCUGUGAGCUCGAUGAGUAGGGCGGGACACGUGGUAUCCUGUCUGAAUAUGGGGGGACCAUCCUCCAAGGCUAAAUACUCCUGACUGACCGAUAGUGAACCAGUACCGUGAGGGAAAGGCGAAAAGAACCCCGGCGAGGGGAGUGAAAAAGAACCUGAAACCGUGUACGUACAAGCAGUGGGAGCCCCACCACUAAGCCAGUGGUGAACUCCACAUACGCAUCCUUUGCUGAGGAUACGGUUAACGGAGCGAAAGCGACGUUCAACCGCAAAAGAAGCAGAGGGGGCUUAGUGGUGGGGUGACUGCGUACCUUUUGUAUAAUGGGUCAGCGACUUAUAUUCUGUAGCAAGGUUAACCGUAUAGGGGAGCCGGAGGGAAACCGAGUCUUAACCGGGCGUUAAGUUGCAGGGUAUAGACCCGAAACCCGGUGAUCUAGCCAUGGGCAGGUUGAAGGUUGGGUAACACUAACUGGAGGACCGAACCGACUAAUGUUGAAAAAUUAGCGGAUGACCUGUGGCUGGGGGUGAAAGGCCAAUCAAACCGGGAGAUAGCUGGUUCUCCCCGAAAGCUAUUUAGGUAGCGCCUCGUGAACUCAUCUCCGGGGGUAGAGCACUGUUUCGGCUAGGGGGCCAUCCCGGCUUACCAACCCGAUGCAAACUGCGAAUACCGGAGAAUGUUAUCACGGGAGACACACGGCGGGUGCUAACGUCCGUCGUGAAGAGGGAAACAACCCAGACCGCCAGCUAAGGUCCCAAAGUCAUGGUUAAGUGGGAAACGAUGUGGGAAGGCCCAGACAGCCAGGAUGUUGGCUUAGAAGCAGCCAUCAUUUAAAGAAAGCGUAAUAGCUCACUGGUCGAGUCGGCCUGCGCGGAAGAUGUAACGGGGCUAAACCAUGCACCGAAGCUGCGGCAGCGAACGUAUCACUUAAAGCGAUUCAGCGGGUUACGAUUGACGGAGCGAAGCGACGUCAAAGCGUAUACAAAGUCGAGUCGGUUUAAGGAUACGUUCGUUGGGUAGGGGAGCGUUCUGUAAGCCUGUGAAGGUGGCCUGUGAGGGUUGCUGGAGGUAUCAGAAGUGCGAAUGCUGACAUAAGUAACGAUAAAGCGGGUGAAAAGCCCGCUCGCCGGAAGACCAAGGGUUCCUGUCCAACGUUAAUCGGGGCAGGGUGAGUCGACCCCUAAGGCGAGGCCGAAAGGCGUAGUCGAUGGGAAACGGGUUAAUAUUCCCGUACUUGGUGUUACUGCGAAGGGGGGACGGAGAAGGCUAUGUUGGCCGGGCGACGGUUGUCCCGGUUUAAGCGUGUAGGUGUGUGUUCCAGGUAAAUCCGGUUCACUUUAACACUGAGGCGUGAUGACGAGGCACUACGGUGCUGAAGCAACAAAUGCCCUGCUUCCAGGAAAAGCCUCUAAGCAUCAGGUAACAUCAAAUCGUACCCCAAACCGACACAGGUGGUCAGGUAGAGAAUACCAAGGCGCUUGAGAGAACUCGGGUGAAGGAACUAGGCAAAAUGGUGCCGUAACUUCGGGAGAAGGCACGCUGACACGUAGGUGAAGUGAUUUACUCAUGGAGCUGAAGUCAGUCGAAGAUACCAGCUGGCUGCAACUGUUUAUUAAAAACACAGCACUGUGCAAACACGAAAGUGGACGUAUACGGUGUGACGCCUGCCCGGUGCCGGAAGGUUAAUUGAUGGGGUCAGCGCAAGCGAAGCUCCUGAUCGAAGCCCCGGUAAACGGCGGCCGUAACUAUAACGGUCCUAAGGUAGCGAAAUUCCUUGUCGGGUAAGUUCCGACCUGCACGAAUGGCGUAAUGAUGGCCAGGCUGUCUCCACCCGAGACUCAGUGAAAUUGAACUCGCUGUGAAGAUGCAGUGUACCCGCGGCAAGACGGAAAGACCCCGUGAACCUUUACUAUAGCUUGACACUGAACAUUGAGCCUUGAUGUGUAGGAUAGGUGGGAGGCUUUGAAGUGUGGACGCCAGUCUGCAUGGAGCCGACCUUGAAAUACCACCCUUUAAUGUUUGAUGUUCUAACGUGGACCCGUAAUCCGGGUUGCGGACAGUGUCUGGUGGGUAGUUUGACUGGGGCGGUCUCCUCCUAAAGAGUAACGGAGGAGCACGAAGGUUGGCUAAUCCUGGUCGGACAUCAGGAGGUUAGUGCAAUGGCAUAAGCCAGCUUGACUGCGAGCGUGACGGCGCGAGCAGGUGCGAAAGCAGGUCAUAGUGAUCCGGUGGUUCUGAAUGGAAGGGCCAUCGCUCAACGGAUAAAAGGUACUCCGGGGAUAACAGGCUGAUACCGCCCAAGAGUUCAUAUCGACGGCGGUGUUUGGCACCUCGAUGUCGGCUCAUCACAUCCUGGGGCUGAAGUAGGUCCCAAGGGUAUGGCUGUUCGCCAUUUAAAGUGGUACGCGAGCUGGGUUUAGAACGUCGUGAGACAGUUCGGUCCCUAUCUGCCGUGGGCGCUGGAGAACUGAGGGGGGCUGCUCCUAGUACGAGAGGACCGGAGUGGACGCAUCACUGGUGUUCGGGUUGUCAUGCCAAUGGCACUGCCCGGUAGCUAAAUGCGGAAGAGAUAAGUGCUGAAAGCAUCUAAGCACGAAACUUGCCCCGAGAUGAGUUCUCCCUGAGACUUUAAGUCUCCUGAAGGAACGUUGAAGACGACGACGUUGAUAGGCCGGGUGUGUAAGCGCAGCGAUGCGUUGAGCUAACCGGUACUAAUGAACCGUGAGGCUUAACCUU
This 3086-nucleotide ribosomal RNA is filed under the name Salmonella enterica subsp. enterica serovar Alachua. RNAcentral's name for it is "bacterial LSU rRNA". It matches the Rfam family "Bacterial large subunit ribosomal RNA". The record is from RNAcentral. Lineage: Bacteria; Pseudomonadati; Pseudomonadota; Gammaproteobacteria; Enterobacterales; Enterobacteriaceae.